RNAcentral lists this transfer RNA (57 nucleotides) under Bos taurus (domestic cattle). It matches the Rfam family "tRNA", at positions 8 to 63 of the family's 71-position model. Rfam says of the family: Transfer RNA (tRNA) molecules are approximately 80 nucleotides in length. Lineage: Eukaryota; Metazoa; Chordata; Mammalia; Artiodactyla; Bovidae. The record is from Rfam by way of RNAcentral. RNAcentral also lists the same sequence under 2 other names.
UAGUUUAGUCCCUAAAGAACCUGCCUGCAAUGCAGGAGACCCAGGUUCGAUUCCUGG